ACGAAAAAUAACGAUACGGGACUCAUCCGAGGCCCCGUAAUCGGAAUGAGUACACUCUAAACCCUUUAACGAGGAUCAAUUGGAGGGCAAGUCUGGUGCCAGCAGCCGCGGUAAUUCCAGCUCCAAUAGCGUAUAUUAAAGUUGUUGCGGUUAAAAAGCUCGUAGUCGAAUUUGUGUCCCGCGCCGCCGGUUCAUCGCUCGCGGUGUCAACUGGCGUGUCCGCGGGACGUCCUGCCGGUGGGCUUAGCCCUUCGGGGCGGCCCAAUCUCAAUCCCACCGCGGUGCUCUUCACUGAGUGUCGAGGUGGGCCGGCACGUUUACUUUGAACAAAUUAGAGUGCUUAAAGCAGGCUAAAACAUCGCCUGAAUACUGUGUGCAUGGAAUAAUGGAAUAGGACCUCGGUUCUAUUUUGUUGGUUUUCGGAACCCCGAGGUAAUGAUUAAUAGGAACGGAUGGGGGCAUUCGUAUUGCGACGUUAGAGGUGAAAUUCUUGGAUCGUCGCAAGACGGACAGAAGCGAAAGCAUUUGCCAAAAACGCUUUCAUUGAUCAAGAACGAAAGUUAGAGGUUCGAAGGCGAUCAGAUACCGCCCUAGUUCUAACCAUAAACGAUGCCAGCUAGCGAUCCGCCGACGUUCCUCCGAUGACUCGGCGGGCAGCUUCCGGGAAACCAAAGCUUUUGGGUUCCGGGGGAAGUAUGGUUGCAAAGCUGAAACUUAAAGGAAUUGACGGAAGGGCACCACCAGGAGUGGAGCCUGCGGCUUAAUUUGACUCAACACGGGAAACCUCACCAGGCCCGGACACCGGAAGGAUUGACAGAUUGAGAGC
This 826-nucleotide ribosomal RNA is filed under the name Boletoscapter sp. sp160. RNAcentral's name for it is "SSU rRNA". It matches the Rfam family "Eukaryotic small subunit ribosomal RNA", at positions 470 to 1255 of the family's 1831-position model. The record is from RNAcentral. Lineage: Eukaryota; Metazoa; Arthropoda; Insecta; Coleoptera; Scarabaeidae.